RNAcentral lists this ribosomal RNA (461 nucleotides) under uncultured bacterium. RNAcentral's name for it is "partial 16S ribosomal RNA". It matches the Rfam family "Bacterial small subunit ribosomal RNA", at positions 338 to 795 of the family's 1533-position model. The record is from RNAcentral.
CCUACGGGAGGCUGCAGUGAGGAAUAUUGGUCAAUGGGCGAGAGCCUGAACCAGCCAAGUCGCGUGAAGGAUGACGGCCCUACGGGUUGUAAACUUCUUUUGUCAGGGAGCAAUUUGGUCCACGCGUGGGCUUAGCGAGAGUAUUUGAAGCAAAAGCAUCGGCUAACUACGUGCCAGCAGCCGCGGUAAUACGUAGGUGGCAAGCGUUGUCCGGAUUUACUGGGUGUAAAGGGCGUGCAGCGGGGCCGACAAGUCAGAUGUGAAAGCCGCGGGCUUAACCCGCGAAAUGCAUUUGAAACUAGUGGUCUUGAGUACCGGAGAGGUCAGCGGAAUUCCUUGUGUAGCGGUGAAAUGCGUAGAUAUAAGGAAGAACACCAGUGGCGAAGGCAGAUGACUGGACGGCAACUGACGGUGAGGCGCGAAAGCGUGGGGAGCAAACAGGAUUAGAUACCCCUGUAGUC